AUAAUGGGUCAGCGACUUAUAUUCUGUAGCAAGGUUAACCGAAUAGGGGAGCCGAAGGGAAACCGAGUCUUAACUGGGCGUUAAGUUGCAGGGUAUAGACCCGAAACCCGGUGAUCUAGCCAUGGGCAGGUUGAAGGUUGGGUAACACUAACUGGAGGACCGAACCGACUAAUGUUGAAAAAUUAGCGGAUGACUUGUGGCUGGGGGUGAAAGGCCAAUCAAACCGGGAGAUAGCUGGUUCUCCCCGAAAGCUAUUUAGGUAGCGCCUCGUGAAUUCAUCUCCGGGGGUAGAGCACUGUUUCGGCAAGGGGGUCAUCCCGACUUACCAACCCGAUGCAAACUGCGAAUACCGGAGAAUGUUAUCACGGGAGACACACGGCGGGUGCUAACGUCCGUCGUGAAGAGGGAAACAACCCAGACCGCCAGCUAAGGUCCCAAAGUCAUGGUUAAGUGGGAAACGAUGUGGGAAGGCCCAGACAGCCAGGAUGUUGGCUUAGAAGCAGCCAUCAUUUAAAGAAAGCGUAAUAGCUCACUGGUCGAGUCGGCCUGCGCGGAAGAUGUAACGGGGCUAAACCAUGCACCGAAGCUGCGGCAGCGACACUGUGUGUUGUUGGGUAGGGGAGCGUUCUGUAAGCCUGCGAAGGUGUGCUGUGAGGCAUGCUGGAGGUAUCAGAAGUGCGAAUGCUGACAUAAGUAACGAUAAAGCGGGUGAAAAGCCCGCUCGCCGGAAGACCAAGGGUUCCUGUCCAACGUUAAUCGGGGCAGGGUGAGUCGACCCCUAAGGCGAGGCCGAAAGGCGUAGUCGAUGGGAAACAGGUUAAUAUUCCUGUACUUGGUGUUACCGCGAAGGGGGGACGGAGAAGGCUAUGUUGGCCGGGCGACGGUUGUCCCGGUUUAAGCGUGUAGGCUGGUUUUCCAGGCAAAUCCGGAAAAUCAAGGCUGAGGCGUGAUGACGAGGCACUACGGUGCUGAAGCAACAAAUGCCCUGCUUCCAGGAAAAGCCUCUAAGCAUCAGGUAACAUCAAAUCGUACCCCAAACCGACACAGGUGGUCAGGUAGAGAAUACCAAGGCGCUUGAGAGAACUCGGGUGAAGGAACUAGGCAAAAUGGUGCCGUAACUUCGGGAGAAGGCACGCUGAUAUGUAGGUGAAGUCCCUCGCGGAUGGAGCUGAAAUCAGUCGAAGAUACCAGCUGGCUGCAACUGUUUAUUAAAAACACAGCACUGUGCAAACACGAAAGUGGACGUAUACGGUGUGACGCCUGCCCGGUGCCGGAAGGUUAAUUGAUGGGGUCAGCGCAAGCGAAGCUCUUGAUCGAAGCCCCGGUAAACGGCGGCCGUAACUAUAACGGUCCUAAGGUAGCGAAAUUCCUUGUCGGGUAAGUUCCGACCUGCACGAAUGGCGUAAUGAUGGCCAGGCUGUCUCCACCCGAGACUCAGUGAAAUUGAACUCGCUGUGAAGAUGCAGUGUACCCGCGGCAAGACGGAAAGACCCCGUGAACCUUUACUAUAGCUUGACACUGAACAUUGAGCCUUGAUGUGUAGGAUAGGUGGGAGGCUUUGAAGUGUGGACGCCAGUCUGCAUGGAGCCGACCUUGAAAUACCACCCUUUAAUGUUUGAUGUUCUAACGUUGACCCGUGAUCCGGGUUGCGGACAGUGUCUGGUGGGUAGUUUGACUGGGGCGGUCUCCUCCUAAAGAGUAACGGAGGAGCACGAAGGUUGGCUAAUCCUGGUCGGACAUCAGGAGGUUAGUGCAAUGGCAUAAGCCAGCUUGACUGCGAGCGUGACGGCGCGAGCAGGUGCGAAAGCAGGUCAUAGUGAUCCGGUGGUUCUGAAUGGAAGGGCCAUCGCUCAACGGAUAAAAGGUACUCCGGGGAUAACAGGCUGAUACCGCCCAAGAGUUCAUAUCGACGGCGGUGUUUGGCACCUCGAUGUCGGCUCAUCACAUCCUGGGGCUGAAGUAGGUCCCAAGGGUAUGGCUGUUCGCCAUUUAAAGUGGUACGCGAGCUGGGUUUAGAACGUCGUGAGACAGUUCGGUCCCUAUCUGCCGUGGGCGCUGGAGAACUGAGGGGGGCUGCUCCUAGUACGAGAGGACCGGAGUGGACGCAUCACUGGUGUUCGGGUUGUCAUGCCAAUGGCACUGCCCGGUAGCUAAAUGCGGAAGAGAUAAGUGCUGAAAGCAUCUAAGCACGAAACUUGCCCCGAGAUGAGUUCUCCCUGACUCCUUGAGAGUCCUGAAGGAACGUUGAAGACGACGACGUUGAUAGGCCGGGUGUGUAAGCGCAGCGAUGCGUUGAGCUAACCGGUACUAAUGAACCGUGAGGCUUAACCUUACAACGCCGAAG
This 2344-nucleotide ribosomal RNA is filed under the name Escherichia coli. Its description in RNAcentral is "partial 23S ribosomal RNA". It matches the Rfam family "Bacterial large subunit ribosomal RNA", at positions 612 to 2925 of the family's 2925-position model. The record is from RNAcentral. Lineage: Bacteria; Pseudomonadati; Pseudomonadota; Gammaproteobacteria; Enterobacterales; Enterobacteriaceae.